UAACAUCCCAAAAUUAUUCAUGAGCAUCAUGCCAUAAUUGCAUAUUUGAAUUCAAAUUUGAAUCUCAAAAGGCUUUUAAAAGAUUUUAUUUCAAUUUAAACCCAAGGGUUUUCACCCAUUUGAGCUUUGGAUCUUCAAACCAAUAGAGUUUGUUUAUAAAAGGGUUUUAUUGCAUAAAUGAGCUAUCCCAUAAUUUUUGGAUAAUUAUUUGGAGUUGAAAACUAUAUUAUUUAAAUAGUUAUACAGCCCUAAAGGCAUUUAUAGGGAAAAUGUAUUUUUAUAUAUUUUAUUUUGAGGGGAAAUUGCUCCCAAAAGUUGAAUCAUGAUAAAACAUGAUUUUACAAAUUUUCUGGAAUUUAUUUGGACCAAUUUGGAGUUCAAAAUCAAAAGAUAUCAAAGAAAUCAGAAAAAGAAAAAGAGAAAAGGUUAAUGGAAAAAAAAAGGGAAACGGGCCGGCCCGGCCGAAUUGGGCCAAACCGGCCCAACUUCUCGCGCACGCCCGCAGCCC
Molecule: long non-coding RNA, 508 nt
Filed under: Brachypodium distachyon (stiff brome)
Lineage: Eukaryota; Viridiplantae; Streptophyta; Magnoliopsida; Poales; Poaceae
Description: long non-coding RNA (BDIS_LNC002985)
Source: RNAcentral